Xiphophorus hellerii (green swordtail) is the source of this 669-nucleotide non-coding RNA. The record is from the annotation of a RefSeq genome assembly. NCBI's taxonomy places the organism in Eukaryota, Metazoa, Chordata, Actinopteri, Cyprinodontiformes, Poeciliidae.
CAACAAAGGCGGUGCUUCCUCAGGGCAGCAUGCACACUGGAGCCGCUGCUGGCUGUGAAGAGAACAAUAGUCAGACUGAAUGUUGAACAUCAGCUGCUUCCUCCUGCUGAUUUAAACCUUGGUGGACAGAUGGAACAUUGGCUGUGGAUUAUUCUGGCUGCUCUUUUCUCUGAGUGUAAAGGAGACUCAGUGAAGCAGACAGAAGGAGAAGUUGUUGCUGCUGCAGGAGAAUCACUGACUCUGAGAUGUACUUAUGAAACAUCCUAUACGACACCCACAUUGUUCUGGUAUAAGCAAGAAGAAAACAGUUUCCCAAAGUUCAUGCUGAAGCAGAUGUCAUCAACAAAAGACAAAGCUCCAGAGUUCAACAACAACAGAUUUGAUGCUGACCUCAAUAAAUCCAACAAAUCCUUCAACCUGACAAUCCAGGAUCUCCGUCUGUCAGACUCUGCUGUGUACUACUGCGCUCUGCAGCCCACAGUGACAGGAAACACCAGAACCUUAUACAAAAACCUGCAGUACUCCACAGCAGCCACUAGAGGGCAGCAGCAUCUUCACCUGGUUCCUCUCCAACAGUUCAAAGUGGGAGAAGUCAGUGGAAACCAGUGGAACCAGUUAGGAAACCCACUGGGUUAAAUAGCUCUCCAAUAAAAGCAAAGGUAUUUCUGC